RNAcentral lists this ribosomal RNA (1241 nucleotides) under Mesorhizobium sp. RNAcentral describes it as "partial 23S ribosomal RNA". It matches the Rfam family "Bacterial large subunit ribosomal RNA", at positions 1 to 1273 of the family's 2925-position model. Lineage: Bacteria; Pseudomonadati; Pseudomonadota; Alphaproteobacteria; Hyphomicrobiales; Phyllobacteriaceae. The record is from RNAcentral.
GGGUUGUGAGGUUAAGCGACUAAGCGUACACGGUGGAUGCCCAGGCAGUCAGAGGCGAUGAAGGACGUGCUAAUCUGCGUAAAGCGACGGUAAGGUGAUAUGAACCGCUACAGCCGUCGAUGUCCGAAUGGGGAAACCCGGUGCACUCUGUGCAUCAUUGCAGCAUGAAUACAUAGUGCUGCAAGGCGAACCGGGGGAACUGAAACAUCUAAGUACCCCGAGGAAAAGAAAUCAACCGAGAUUCCCCCAGUAGCGGCGAGCGAACGGGGAGCAGCCCAGAGCCUGAAUCAGCAUGUGUGUUAGUGGAAGCGUCUGGAAAGUCGCAGGGUACAGGGUGAUACUCCCGUACACAAAAACGCAUAUGCUGUGAGCUCGAUGAGUAAGGCGGGACACGUGGUAUCCUGUCUGAAUAUGGGGGGACCAUCCUCCAAGGCUAAAUACUCCUGACUGACCGAUAGUGAACCAGUACCGUGAGGGAAAGGCGAAAAGAACCCCGGCGAGGGGAGUGAAACAGAACCUGAAACCGUGUACGUACAAGCAGUGGGAGCCUUCUUUAUGGGGGUGACUGCGUACCUUUUGUAUAAUGGGUCAGCGACUUAUAUUCUGUAGCAAGGUUAACCGUAUAGGGGAGCCGCAGGGAAACCGAGUCUUAACUGGGCGUUAAGUUGCAGGGUAUAGACCCGAAACCCGGUGAUCUAGCCAUGGGCAGGUUGAAGGUUGGGUAACACUAACUGGAGGACCGAACCGACUAAUGUUGAAAAAUUAGCGGAUGACCUGUGGCUGGGGGUGAAAGGCCAAUCAAACCGGGAGAUAGCUGGUUCUCCCCGAAAGCUAUUUAGGUAGCGCCUCGUGAACUCAUCUUCGGGGGUAGAGCACUGUUUCGGCUAGGGGGCCAUCCCGGCUUACCAACCCGAUGCAAACUGCGAAUACCGAAGAAUGUUAUCACGGGAGACACACGGCGGGUGCUAACGUCCGUCGUGAAGAGGGAAACAACCCAGACCGCCAGCUAAGGUCCCAAAGUCAUGGUUAAGUGGGAAACGAUGUGGGAAGGCACAGACAGCCAGGAUGUUGGCUUAGAAGCAGCCAUCAUUUAAAGAAAGCGUAAUAGCUCACUGGUCGAGUCGGCCUGCGCGGAAGAUGUAACGGGGCUAAACCAUGCACCGAAGCUGCGGCAGCGACACUAUGUGUUGUUGGGUAGGGGAGCGUUCUGUAAGCCGUCGAAGGUGUGCUGUGAGGCAUGC